ACAGAGGGCGCGAGCGUUGUCCGGAAUCACUGGGCGUAAAGGGCGCGUAGGUGGCGGCAUAAGGCCGCGGUGAAAGUUCGGGGCUCAACCCUGAAUCGGCCGCGGCGACUGUGUCGCUUGGGCACUGUAGAGGCAGAUGGAAUUCCGGGUGUAGCGGUGGAAUGCGUAGAGAUCCGGAAGAACAUCGGUGGCGAAAGCGCUCUACUGGACCACAACUGACACUCAGGGACGAAAGCUAGGGGAGCGAAUGGGA
Molecule: ribosomal RNA, 253 nt
Filed under: uncultured prokaryote
Description: partial 16S ribosomal RNA
Rfam family: Bacterial small subunit ribosomal RNA
Source: RNAcentral